RNAcentral lists this unclassified non-coding RNA (229 nucleotides) under Hevea brasiliensis (rubber tree). Lineage: Eukaryota; Viridiplantae; Streptophyta; Magnoliopsida; Malpighiales; Euphorbiaceae. The record is from RNAcentral.
GGGAAUUUUAGGCCAAAUUUUGAGAGAAAAUGUGAUCGAAAUAGUAGUUUAAAGGCCGAAACACAUAAAGAAUGAAAAAAACCAAUGUAAACACUGCAUGCAUAUGUUUUUUGUCAACUGAAUUAUUAAGGUAACAUCUGUUACCAUUAAUGAUAGAUAACGGCUGUUACUGUAACGUAAUGGUGAUAACAGUCGUUACCAAUGUAACUCAGCAUUUGCUUUUAAAUAA